Long non-coding RNA from Betta splendens (Siamese fighting fish), 825 nucleotides. RefSeq lists it as uncharacterized. The record is from RefSeq and is a predicted model, not a curated record. NCBI's taxonomy places the organism in Eukaryota, Metazoa, Chordata, Actinopteri, Anabantiformes, Osphronemidae. The transcript is spliced from 3 exons.
GAUAAAGAAAAGAGGUCAGAAAGGGGUUUUCUGCAAAACAUCCAUAGAUGCUACUGUACACGACGUAACGCGACAGAACGUUAGCAUCUGGAUUUGUCUCGGCUGGACACGAAACAGGAACACAGUCACAGUUUAACAAACCCACUCAAAGGCAGAGGACGGGGUUUUAUUUGUCAUGGUGGAAUGAUCCCAGUCAAAGAAUCUCUUUCCCAUCUACAGGUUGAAGAACAUCAUACCUCGGGAUUUGACUUUCUGGCCUGUGAAAGCUCCAAUCCUCCCCAGGAUCACAGCAGCAGCAGCAGCAGCGCCGCAGGCACAUGAACAGCCUGACAGACGGUGAGGAGGGAAUCACACAUGCAAAGAUAACGUCAACAUCCUCAAAAGGUGCUGAGUUUGAACAGAAUGUGUUAAUGUGAGCCUGCAUGGAAUUACAUAACAAUUAAAUAUAGAAACUACUUCAAUGUUUGCUUAUGUAUGUCUGAAAAAAGCAAAGUCUGUUUUACGUUCAUGUAAAUUAGUCUGUUUUACUUGACCACGUACUAUAUAAUAAGACAUAUAUUUGACCAUGUACUAAAGCCUGUUCAGGCCUACAGUAACUACAGUAGUCACGGUCAAUCUCAACAUAACUAACUAGCGCCACCUGCUGUUCCAGAUGGCACGUGGCGCCACAGGGAAAGUAGUUUGUAGUCAUUUGUUUUGUAAUAUAACAGAAAAACAUUCUAAACAUAAGAUAUCAGCCUCAUUUUACAAUAGGGAAUAAUUUAUUUAACAGUUGUCAAAUGAAUGUUUGCUUCUGCGAGGCAGCAACGCUCUUCAGUAAACCAA